This 1777-nucleotide long non-coding RNA is filed under the name Phocoena sinus (vaquita). RNAcentral's name for it is "lncRNA (ENSPSNG00000008461.1)". Lineage: Eukaryota; Metazoa; Chordata; Mammalia; Artiodactyla; Phocoenidae. The record is from RNAcentral.
GGCGCCGGAGGAAGGCCCGGCGAGGCAGACGCCCGCGGCGGAAUGGCGACGGGCCAGAGCCAGUCUCGGCUCCAACGGCUGGGCGACCGAGCUCCUGGCGGCUGCCCGCGCGCGGCCCUGGUCUGUCCCGCCUACCUCCACCCACCCCCGGACCGAGCGGCCCUGAGUCACCGGUUGGAGAUGCGCGACCCCGGCCCGGGCCCGCGCUGCGGAGCUGCCUUUCUGGACUGCGCUCUGAACUGCGCUCUGGAACAGGGUUUAAGGUGUGUUCGGCGUGUCUUUGGAAAGGGACGGCUGGGCGGGAGGAGAGUCUGGAGUUUGCACCGGAAUCCUCCGCAGCCUAGGAUUCCGAGCCGCCGGAGGUCCCGCCCCGAGGAGGGAUUGGAAGCUGGUGCACUUGACAUUCGAAGAGAGCGAAGGGGAAGAGACGCUGUUUCAUAGCCAGUGAAAGGAGAAUGGGGGUACAACCACCCCACCUCUUCCGUUGGCCUGGGGCUCCCAGCUUUCAUGAUGCUUCUUUCCACCCCGCCUCGUUGUCCCCUGGACAACCCUGGGGUAUUAUCAUCACCAUUUCAUCAGGAAGAAGGGAGGCGGCCAGAGAGGCUGGAAGAUUCGCUGGAGACCACACGACUAAUGAGUGGGCAGAGCCCAGUCGAGAAACCACCUCUUCGUCUGCCACUUUGAACAAAGUGCAAAACACGGUGUUGAGAGACACGGACACAGAAAUCAUUGAGAUUGUGCCCCAGCCCUGGUGGCACUGAGCAUCUGAUGUGAACUACUCUCACUCCGGGCAGAAGGCAAGGUGGGCUAAAUUAGUUCUGGGAGAUCAGCACAGUAUCAGGGACAGAACAGACACUCAGAUGUGAAAUAAACAAACCAAGCAGGGAUCACAGAGGAAAAAUAUUGUAUUGCAAGGUGGUCUUAGGGGGAGGCUUCUCACAGAAGGUAGAUAAAUCCUUUGAAUAAAUUCUUAAGAGAGAGGAAAGGGAGGACAGGGCAGGAUGUACUGCAUGAACAGCAUGAGAAAAGGUCCAGAGGAUGAAAGUGCUUGAUGUUUUCAAGGAAGGGAUCUACCUGGCGGUGCCACGGCCCAGGAUGCUGGGAAGUUAUUGGUGGGAGUUGAAGUUGGUCAGGCCGGGCGAGUCUGGACUCAGGAGGCCCUUUUAUGUGAGACACAGGGUUGUCAGGGUGUUUGCAUCCUGCUGGUACUCCUGGGCACUGGCUCAUCUGAAGGACCACAUUAGGUCCCGGCCUCUGAAUGAAGCUACUUCGGGAAUCAGGCAGAUGGUGAGGUCACAGUUCAUGCUUUCUCCCAACCACCCCCAUCAGCAUUUCCCUGUUUCUCCAGCACUCAGGACUGAAGCACUUUUGUAAUAGAUGUUCCGUACGCUUCGGUUGGAGUGAAGUGAAUUGAAGGAAGAAAACCUGAAUGGGUUUUUUGCUGCAGAAAAGUCAUUGUUUUAACUGCAAUACCCUUUCCUCACUCAGAAGACUAACCACAAGGACAAGUCCAAAAAUGGCCCUACCAAGAAAGUGACUCUAGAAAGAAGGGGACGCGUAAAAGAGGGCCUCACAAAGAAAUCUAUAAGAAUAGCGGGGCGGGCUUCCCUGGUGGCGCAGUGGUUGAGAGUCUGCCUGCCGAUGCAGGGGACACAGGUUCGUGCCCCGGUCCGGGAAGAUCCCACAUGCCGCGGAGUGGCUGGGCCCGUGAGCCAUGGCCGCUGAGCCUGUGCAUCCGGAGCCUGUGCUCCGCAACGGGAGAGGCCACAACAGUCAG